GACGAACCGUGCAAACGUUAUUCGGAAUCACUGGGCUUAAAGCGUGCGUAGGCGGCUGAGAAAGUUGGGUGUGAAAUCCCUCGGCUCAACCGAGGAAUUGCGCUCAAAACUACUUGGCUUGAGGGAGUUAGAGGUGAGCGGAACUAAUGGUGGAGCGGUGAAUUGCGUUGAUAUCAUUAGGAACACCGGUGGCGAAAGCGGCUCACUGGGACUCUUCUGACGCUGAGGCACGAAAGCUAGGGUAGCGAACGGG
This 253-nucleotide ribosomal RNA is filed under the name uncultured bacterium. RNAcentral's name for it is "partial 16S ribosomal RNA". It matches the Rfam family "Bacterial small subunit ribosomal RNA", at positions 524 to 776 of the family's 1533-position model. The record is from RNAcentral.